This 396-nucleotide long non-coding RNA is filed under the name Elaeis guineensis (African oil palm). Its description in RNAcentral is "long non-coding RNA (EGUI_LNC052947)". The record is from RNAcentral. Lineage: Eukaryota; Viridiplantae; Streptophyta; Magnoliopsida; Arecales; Arecaceae.
CGUAUGCUUUGCGAGCUGCUCUUGACAGCAGAGCACUUAGUAGGUGAGUCACUUAUUUAGUGACAAUGUGUUGAGUUCCUACCAUGCAAUGAAAAAUAAUUUUUAAAAAUUUUAAAACAAGCAAACUAAUAGCCUUAUCAAAUAAAACUAUCGAGCUGAACCCAAAACCCCAGAAUCACUUUGUCGAUCAUGAUCAAAGCAAAUUCAAGCAUGCAAAGAGAUAGAAAAUUAUACUUUACUCAAUAUAAAAAAAUGGCAUGUUGGUGUUCUCCAUAAGACCCCAAGGUAGAAGUCCUCCAACGGUGAUCCACAUGAAAGUUGGCCAAAGUCCUUCCCAACCGGUGCAUUGCCACAGCCUUAUCUUUUCAAGAACACUACCGGCUUCAAACUUGCAUC